AAGUCGUAACAAGGUAACCGUAGGUGAACCUGCGGUUGGAUCAUUAAAGGAAAUGUUGUCUUUUGGUCUCGUCUUUCGGGAAGUUUCCAAGGCACUUAUCUAAAUUCAGCUCAUGGACUUCUCUCUUUCUUCUUUCGGGUAGAGGGAGAGAGUUUGAUGAGUUUGAACCUUGUGUGAACUGUUAACAUGUGAAAGAGAUUUCUUUAAAUCUUUUGAACUUUAAAAAGUUUUCUGGUAAGACUUUAAUGACUUGCCAGUUUACCUUUUUUGGAUCAUUGGAUUUGGUUUCUCUUUACUCUAUAAACAUUAUAAUUAUUACAAGAUUUUUAGCCUAAAGUAAAUUUUAUUACAUUCUUAAUGUAUGAAACAACUUUUGACAACGGAUCUCUAGGCUCUCGUAACGAUGAAAAACGCAGC
Molecule: unclassified non-coding RNA, 417 nt
Filed under: fungal sp.
Lineage: Eukaryota; Fungi
Description: partial internal transcribed spacer region
Rfam family: Eukaryotic small subunit ribosomal RNA (bases 1-46)
Source: RNAcentral